ACUCCUACGGGAGGCAGCAGUGGGGAAUUUUGGACAAUGGGCGAAAGCCUGAUCCAGCAAUGCCGCGUGAGUGAAGAAGGCCUUCGGGUUGUAAAGCUCUUUUGUCAGGGAAGAAACGGUGAGAGCUAAUAUCUUUUGCUAAUGACGGUACCUGAAGAAUAAGCACCGGCUAACUACGUGCCAGCAGCCGCGGUAAUACGUAGGGUGCAAGCGUUAAUCGGAAUUACUGGGCGUAAAGCGUGCGCAGGCGGUUUUGUAAGUCUGAUGUGAAAUCCCCGGGCUCAACCUGGGAAUUGCAUUGGAGACUGCAAGGCUAGAAUCUGGCAGAGGGGGGUAGAAUUCCACGUGUAGCAGUGAAAUGCGUAGAUAUGUGGAGGAACACCGAUGGCGAAGGCAGCCCCCUGGGUCAAGAUUGACGCUCAUGCACGAAAGCGUGGGGAGCAAACAGGAUUAGAAACCCUUGUAGUCCCAUGA
This 474-nucleotide ribosomal RNA is filed under the name uncultured organism. RNAcentral describes it as "partial 16S ribosomal RNA". It matches the Rfam family "Bacterial small subunit ribosomal RNA", at positions 335 to 800 of the family's 1533-position model. The record is from RNAcentral.